This is a non-coding RNA of Camelina sativa (false flax), 144 nucleotides long. The record is from RefSeq and is a predicted model, not a curated record. Lineage: Eukaryota; Viridiplantae; Streptophyta; Magnoliopsida; Brassicales; Brassicaceae.
AAACACAGAAUAGGGGUAGACGCAUCAUCUUCAACGGUCUCCUUGUCACAACCUUGGAAUUAGUCUCUCAUUUUUUUAGGGGAUACACAAACACAAAUGAAUGGAAAUACUCAAAAAUGGAGAUAUUAUUCACACGUUGUCCUA